RNAcentral lists this transfer RNA (87 nucleotides) under Candidatus Peribacteria bacterium. Its description in RNAcentral is "tRNA-Ser". It matches the Rfam family "tRNA". From Rfam's summary of the family: Transfer RNA (tRNA) molecules are approximately 80 nucleotides in length. Lineage: Bacteria; Candidatus Peregrinibacteriota; Candidatus Peribacteria. The record is from RNAcentral.
GGUGAGGUGCCUGAGAGGCCGAAAGGAGCUCACUGCUAACGAGUCGUACGAGAGAUCGUACCGCGGGUUCGAAUCCCGCCCUCACCG